Molecule: ribosomal RNA, 934 nt
Filed under: Gautieria morchelliformis var. intermedia
Lineage: Eukaryota; Fungi; Basidiomycota; Agaricomycetes; Gomphales; Gomphaceae
Description: partial large subunit ribosomal RNA
Rfam family: Eukaryotic large subunit ribosomal RNA
Source: RNAcentral
AAUAAGCGGAGGAAAAGAAACUAACAAGGAUUCCCCUAGUAACGGCGAGUGAAGCGGGAUGAGCUCAAAUUUGUAAUCUGGCGGCCUUUGGCCGUCCGAGUUGUAGUCUGGAGAAGCGUCUUCCGCGUCGGACCGUGUACAAGUCCCUUGGAACAGGGCGUCAUAGAGGGUGAGAAUCCCGUCUUUGACACGGACUGCCGAUGCUUUGUGAUGCGCUCUCGAAGAGUCGAGUUGUUUGGGAAUGCAGCUCAAAACGGGUGGUAAAUUCCAUCUAAAGCUAAAUACGGGCGAAAGACCGAUAGCGAACAAGUACCGUGAGGGAAAGAUGAAAAGCACUUUGGAAAGAGAGUUAAACAGUACGUGAAAUUGUUGAAAGGGAAACGCUUGAAGUCAGUCGCGUCUCCUGGGACUCAGCCUUGCUUCUGCUCGGUGUACUUCCUGGGGUGAUGGGCCAGCAUCGAUUUUGACCGUCGGAGAAAGGCCUUGGGAACGUGGCACCCUUUGGGUGUGUUAUAGCCCUUGGUCGUAUGCGACGGUCGGGAUCGAGGACCGCAGCACGCCUUUUUGGCCGGGGUUCGCCCACGUACGUGCUUAGGAUGCUGGCGUAAUGGCUUUAAGCGACCCGUCUUGAAACACGGACCAAGGAGUCUAACAUGCCUGCGAGUGUUUGGGUGGUAAACCCGGACGCGAAAUGAAAGUGAAAGGUUGGGACCUCUGUCGUGGAGGGCACCGACGCCCGGACCAGACCUUUUGUGACGGUUCCGAGGUAGAGCAUGCAUGCUGGGACCCGAAAGAUGGUGAACUAUGCUUGAGUAGGGUGAAGCCAGAGGAAACUCUGGUGGAGGCUCGUAGCGAUUCUGACGUGCAAAUCGAUCGUCGAACUUGAGUAUAGGGGCGAAAGACUAAUCGAACCAUCUAGUAGCUGGUUCCUGCC